CCCUUAGAUGCUCUGGGCCGCACGCGCACUACACUGGUCGAUGCAACGAGUUUCUUUCCUUGGCCGACAGGCCUGGGCAAUCUUUGAACAUCGAUCGUGAUCGGGAUAGAUUCUUGUAAUUUUUGAUCUUAAACGAGGAAUUCCUAGUAAACGCAAGUCAUCAGCUUGCAUUGAUUACGUCCCUGCCCUUUGUACACACCGCCCGUCGCACCUACCGAUUGAAUGGUCCGGUGAAAUCUCCGGACUGGCGUGAGUCGGAGCAAUCUGACAAACGCCGGAAAGUUGAUUAAACCUUACCAUUUAGAGGAAGGUGAAGUCGUAACA
Molecule: ribosomal RNA, 324 nt
Filed under: uncultured eukaryote
Lineage: Eukaryota
Description: partial 18S ribosomal RNA
Rfam family: Eukaryotic small subunit ribosomal RNA
Source: RNAcentral